UAUUAAAAAUUUCAUUCAUUUGUACUAUUAAAAAGUUACCAUUACUAAUGGAAUAACCAGAUAGUAACAUUUGACGUGUCACGUGUACCUCAUUUGACGUGUCACGUGUACCUCAUUUGACAUACAUGGAUUAGUUUUUAAUACUAGAAAUGGAUGAAAUUUUUAACA
Molecule: microRNA precursor, 168 nt
Filed under: Gossypium hirsutum (cotton)
Lineage: Eukaryota; Viridiplantae; Streptophyta; Magnoliopsida; Malvales; Malvaceae
Description: MIR7502 microRNA precursor family
Rfam family: MIR7502 microRNA precursor family
Source: Rfam by way of RNAcentral